GACGAACGCUGGCGGCGUGCUUAACACAUGCAAGUCGAACGGAAAGGCCCUGCUUUUGUGGGGUGCUCGAGUGGCGAACGGGUGAGUAACACGUGAGUAACCUGCCCUUGACUUUGGGAUAACUUCAGGAAACUGGGGCUAAUACCGGAUAGGAGCUCCUGCUGCAUGGUGGGGGUUGGAAAGUUUCGGCGGUUGGGGAUGGACUCGCGGCUUAUCAGCUUGUUGGUAGGGUAGUGGCUUACCAAGGCUUUGACGGGUAGCCGGCCUGAGAGGGUGACCGGCCACAUUGGGACUGAGAGACGGCCCAGACUCCUACGGGAGGCAGCAGUGGGGAAUAUUGCACAAUGGGCGGAAGCCUGAUGCAGCAACGCCGCGUGCGGGAUGACGGCCUUCGGGCUGUAAACCGCUUUCGCCUGUGACGAAGCGUGAGUGACGGUAAUGGGUAAAGAAGCACCGGCUAACUACGUG
This 468-nucleotide ribosomal RNA is filed under the name uncultured bacterium. Its description in RNAcentral is "partial 16S ribosomal RNA". It matches the Rfam family "Bacterial small subunit ribosomal RNA", at positions 28 to 507 of the family's 1533-position model. The record is from RNAcentral.